AAAGAAAAAAAAAAGAAAAAAAAAUCAUAUUCCAGAUUAAGCAUAGUUCAACAAAAGCACUACAAUCAGAAUAAUGGACCCCAAAUUCUACAUUCCAAGCUGCUCCUAGAAAAAUCAAUUAUAACCUUAUCUAUUAUCAAUUAAAUCGCCACAGUAACAUAUCCCAAAUUCUACUCUCCAAGCUACUUUUGGAAGACUAAUAAUAAUCUUCAUCACCAUCAAGUAAAGCACCUUUCUUCAUCAGGGGUAAGGACCUCAAUGUUUUGUUCCUUUUCAUUUCUCUCUGAAUUAGUCCAUCUAUAAAGUCCAAUCAAAGGCAAUAUACCUAGAAACAAUUAUGUCUGGUGUUGCUCCUAAAAAUCAGGUUGAUUGGAUGGGAGAGAGGCCACUUUGUGAUUAAGGUUCCAAAUCUUAUUGUGAUCUUCAUCCCCUAAGCGUUGAUUCCAUGUAAGUGUUUCUUUUAUUGGCAUUCGUAAUACUAUCCAUUGUCUAAAAUCAAAUUCACGCUCCAGUGUUAUAAGGUUAAAACAUCUGAUGUUACUAGUUAACAUUUCUCGAGUCCUUGGCAUGUGCCUCACCUAUGAAUACUCAGGGCAUAAGACCUUGGGCCUUGGUGCACCCUAGUUCAGGCAUACCUUUGACUACUAUGCAUGCGAGCAGAGAUGGAGCCAUGAUAUUUUUUCAGUGGGGUCAUAUUCAACAAGUCAAUUCAUGAUUGACAUCUCUUCAUCUGCAAAUAAUUCUUGAUGUGAAAACAGACAUUUUUGUUGAUGCUGUUCCCAUUAGAAACUCUCUGGUGUAUAAAGAUAUUCAUACUUUUCACAUAUGGGAAUAUGAAAUUUAGACUCAUGCGACAAGCCAAGGAUAUAAUGGUAUGAGAUUCAAUAUGAUGUCCUAAAGCCUAAUUAUGAGUCAUAAAUUUGAUUCCUAAUCUCACCAAUACAAUUUCAAAGAUUGGAACAAAGAAAUAUAACAACUAAAAUAAACUUCAAGUAAAACAACAAUCAAUAUCAUAGAUGUGAUAUAUAUGCACUAAAUGAGAUUGGAGAGUCAAAAUGUCCAAGUUUGAGUCCUUUUACGGUUUUACGUAUUUAAACCAAAAUACAAAAUUAACAUGUAUUAAUUUUUCGAAUAAUUUCAGUGGGUCAAUUGAGUGAAAGGCCCAGCAAAAAUUUUAUACGCUACCUAUAUGUUUCAUGUUUCCCUAAAAUUCUUUUACCCCAAUCAAUGACAAUUAGCCCCGCCUAUGCAUAUGAGGUGCUGUAAGAGAAUGCAAAAUAUGAUUGUCUUGGGCAUAUUUCUUGGAAAACUUAAAAUAUCUGUUUUCCAUGACUGGAAGUGUUUAAUUGGAGGCAUUUUUGUAGUUGGAAAGCAUAGUAUUUACAGUCCUGUUGUGUUGAUAGAGAGCGUCCAAAGUAUCAAAUA
RNAcentral lists this unclassified non-coding RNA (1425 nucleotides) under Hevea brasiliensis (rubber tree). The record is from RNAcentral. Lineage: Eukaryota; Viridiplantae; Streptophyta; Magnoliopsida; Malpighiales; Euphorbiaceae.